GACGAACGCUGGCGGCGUGCUUAACACAUGCAAGUCGAGCGGUAAGGCCUCUUCGGGGGUACACGAGCGGCGAACGGGUGAGUAACACGUGGGUGACCUGCCCUCAGCUCAGGGAUAAGCCUGGGAAACUGGGUCUAAUACCGGCUAUGACCUUUCCUCGCAUGGGGUUUGGAGGAAAGUUUUUUCGGCUGGGGAUGGGCCCGCGGCCUCUCAGCUGGUUGGUGGGGUGAUGGCCUACCAAGGCGGCGACGGGUAGCCGGCCUGAGAGGGCGACCGGCCACACUGGGACUGGGACACGGCACGGACUCCUCCGGGAGGGAGCAGUGGGGAAUAUUGCGAAACGGGCGGAAGCCUGACGCAGCGACGCUGCGUGGGGGAUGACGGCCUUGGGGUUGUAAACCUCUUUCGACCCCGACGAAUUUGGACGGUAGGGGUAGAAGAAGCACCGGCCAACUACGUG
Molecule: ribosomal RNA, 460 nt
Filed under: uncultured bacterium
Lineage: Bacteria
Description: partial 16S ribosomal RNA
Rfam family: Bacterial small subunit ribosomal RNA
Source: RNAcentral